GAUGAAGAACGUAGCGAAAUGCGAUAAGUAGUGUGAAUUGCAGAAUUCAGCGAAUCAUCGAAUCUUUGAACGCACAUUGCGCCCUUCGGUUAUUCCUUAGGGCAUGCCUGUUCGAGCGUCAUUUCAACCUUCAAGCCUGGCUUGGUGUUGGGCGCUGUCCCGCCUCCGCGCGCGGACUCGCCCCAAAUGAAUUGGCAGUCGCACCCUCCGAGCCGCGAGCGCAGCACAAGUCGCGCGGGCGGAACUCUGGGGGGACGGACGAUCCACAAGACCCUUUCUCAGUCUUGACCUCGGAUCAGGUAGGGAUACCCGCUGAACUUAAGCAUAUCAAUAAGCGGAGGA
This 342-nucleotide unclassified non-coding RNA is filed under the name soil metagenome. RNAcentral's name for it is "partial contains 5.8S ribosomal RNA, internal transcribed spacer 2, and large subunit ribosomal RNA". The stretch from base 1 to 121 matches the Rfam family "5.8S ribosomal RNA", at positions 35 to 154 of the family's 154-position model. The record is from RNAcentral.